Molecule: ribosomal RNA, 236 nt
Filed under: uncultured bacterium
Lineage: Bacteria
Description: partial 16S ribosomal RNA
Rfam family: Bacterial small subunit ribosomal RNA
Source: RNAcentral
CAAGCGUUAAUCGGAAUCACUGGGCGUAAAGCGCAUGUAGGCGGACAUUUAAGUCAGGGGUGAAAUCCCGGGGCUCAACCUCGGAACUGCGUUCGAAACUGGGAGGCUUGAGUCCUGGAGAGGGUGGCGGAAUUCCGGGUGUAGGAGUGAAAUCCGUAGAUAUCCGGAGGAACACCGGUGGCGAAGGCGGCCACCUGGACAGGUACUGACGCUGAGGCGACGAAAGCGUGGGGAGC